GCCUACGUAGCUGUCAGCAGAGUGACGUCUCUCAGUGGACUGUAUCUUCUUGAUAUGGAGGAGAAAAAAAUAUUCACCAACCCAGAAAUCACUGCAGCACUUGAGAACAUGAAACAAGCCAACCUUGAUGACAUGAUGCCUCUUCUACACGUGAGACAAACACUGAGCAGGUCAGAGGUUUUCACCACUGUUCAUCAUGACUGUAAGGAGUAAAUAUUUAAACAAGACAUUCUUCAGGCGAAAUAAAGACACUCAAGACAGUUUAGAUGGUAACAACGUGCGCACGCUGGGUGAGCGCUGCUGUCUCAGGCUCACAACCAGCGUAUGUGGCAGUUCUUUAUUUAUAGCGUUUCAGAGUAUGUGUGUGUGUGUGAAGUUUAUGAUCUCAGAGUGUGUGUGUGUGAUUCUGAAGAAUGGGCCCCUCUUUGUAUUUGGGAGUGUAGAUAAGAACAUCCUGCUCUCCCCUUCCUGGGAGUGAAACGGCUCGUAGAGAACCAGGUACAGAGGAGAUGUCCUGGGUAAAUCAUAUCUGAGAACACUAUGCUUUUGUCUUUACUUCAGCUUCACUUCUAGUGAAGCAGUAAAAUACGAUUAAAUACAAUUAAAUGGAAAGAAUAAAUGGGUAAACAACUAUUAACACUGAAAUUAAAGAUAAGCUUUCAAUAACGUACAAAUGCAAGUGGGAAUAAUACUUGAAACAUUUGAAAAUCUCUUAACAUAUCCCUCCUGUUGUUAAUUUGUUUUACACAUUUUAACUUUUAUCAGCAUACAGUCUCUUGACAGUGCAUUUUUAACUGUUGCUUCAUUAUUAACAGGAGUGUCUUUUUUCUUUUAGUUACAGGUUGUUUCUUCAUCUUCGUCGUCGGUGUUUGAGUCAGUGUCGGCGUGCUCCAGCAGUGUCAUAAUUUCUUUUUGGCCGACAGGGUCCGGUGUAAUAGCUGUGGCUAUCAGUCUGUUGAUCAUGGAUCUUAUGCAGGGAAUACAACAACAGCCACAUAGGGUCAAUAUGGCUGCAAAAACAGCUAUUGACACUAGGAUUGAUGACACUAGGCUGCGGUACUUUCCAAACACGUCCAUCCAGCUGUCCCACAUGGAAGUGUCCACUCCAGAAUGUUCUUUCAUUCUCUCAUUCAGGGUCUUCAGUCUUUCCAGGGCUCUGGUCAGACUGCCGUCAGCUGCAGUGUUGUUAGGUAUGAAGGUGCAGCAUUGUUCUCCACUUCUUUGUUUCUCGUUGCGCUGCGCGUUCUUCUGGGCAUAGGCUGCAGCUUAAAAUGGUUCCCCUUUCAGGACACGUCACAUUUGGAGCCUGCGGUGAAACCUCGGGCAGUGUGGGUCACAUGGGUUGCUGGUGCAGGCCGUGUUCAUGCCUACCAGGGCCAGUGAUAAGAAUACUGUGAACACGAGCAUGGAACACAUCGUUGUGACAGUGGUCAGUUGGCAUCCUCUUGUCCAGCAUCGGCGUCGUCUGUGCGGUUUCUCACCCUCAGGGGCAUCCUGGUUUGCAUUUAGUAUUUCCAUCUCCAUCAGGUCUCCUCUGUGAGCGUUUCUCCUCUUCUCGACCGUGGACACACCCUUGGCCUCCAAUGAGUAGACACCCAGCAAGAGGAGCGAGUGUCUCAGUGUUGCCACUGAUAGCCCUUCUCCCCACCGAGUGAACACCAGAGGUUAGAGCGGUCUGCAGUCUAGACUUUAUUGCUCACUUUUCUGCUCGGGAGUUUGUGGUUCUUGGAUUGGUUCAACCCUUUUUCAACCUGCAAGAAACUGGAAGAGAAUCACUCGGCAGUUGAUUGUUCAAAACUAUUUCUCUGUUUUCCAGCAACUUUGUCAUCCACUCUGCUAGAGUUGUUUCUCUUAUUGACUUGUUUGAAAUUUAAUGUAUAGAAGUGUCUUUAACUAGUGUUUUUAACUAAUUAGACUCCCUCCUGUUGACGCAUGAACAACUUCAUGUGUCACAAGAGCUACUGUUUUUGUAUAAAGACUUGGUUGUAACGGUUUCCCAUCACAUAUGAUCAGAUCAUCCUGUAGAAUUGCUCCGCACCUCAACCAUUUCUUUUCGCUCUAGUAAUGGCACAAAUGUGUGGUUCAUUUCUCAAGAUAUCCAGUGGAAUUUGCAUAGAGGUGUUGUCACCAUAAGUGCGUCUACUGUUUGUACUGCUACUGAUUUUGCUGCUUGGUCUGCAAAAUUGUCGCCCUCUGUUAUGCCAUAUUUCCAAAAUGGCGUACUGCAGAUCAAAUUCAUCAUUGAUAAGUCAAACCAACGAAAAAAACAAAACUAGAAGUCAAAAAAAAAAAAAAAAUAUUCUUUCGUUAACAGAAAUAAAAAUAAAAACAAAAGUAAAACUAUCUAAAACUGCAAUGAGUGGUCACAAAAUUAACUGAUUUUGUAGCAAAAAUGUGUUUAGUUUUAAAAUCUUAAGUCAAAACUAAAGAAAAAUAAAACUAAUGAAAAUUGCAAAACUAUUAAAACAGAGUAAACAUAUUGGCUGUCUCUGUGUCUCUCUGUCUGUCUGCGUCUUGACACAGUCAGCUCCUUUGUAUGGGCAUGUAGUUCCUGUUACACGUUUUCCUGUUACAGACACAUUUCCCGUUUCUCCAGAGUAAUCGAACUCUUUGUUGAAUUUAACUGUUUUCAUCUAGUCUGCACUUCCACCUAAAUGUAAGUAGAAAGGCUAUUUCCAAGUUACUGAAUGCUUCUUCUUCCUUUUUUUCUCUGUAGAUACAGCACUACAUAUUUUCUUAAGGCAUUUUGGACAAUUUCUAUUUCGUUUUAAAAUAAUUCAUAUAUCUCAUACAUGUUACAUAUGUCAAACUUCUAAGUUGGGAAAAACUUUGCAUUGCUUACAGCUCGUAGCUCACAGCUCUAAAACUAGGCAUCAGUAAAUCAUGUGCCUAAUCAUUUCGUGUCACUGUGAUCCUCAAGUAUGAUCACAGAUUUGUUUUUCAAACCAACAAAACAAACAAACAAAAACAAGUUGCUGAUGGCAUGAACGCUUUACACGAGUUGGGACACAAAA
Oreochromis aureus is the source of this 3014-nucleotide long non-coding RNA. Lineage: Eukaryota; Metazoa; Chordata; Actinopteri; Cichliformes; Cichlidae. The record is from Ensembl.